ACAUCGCUCUUUGAAAAUUUUAUAUAAAGAGUCGAACCUGCCCAGUGAAUAAUUUUAACGGCCGCAGUACCCUGACUGUGCAAAGGUAGCAUAAUCACUUGCCUUAUAAUUGAAGGCUAGUAUGAAUGGUUUGACAAGAGUAAAGCUGUCUCUAUAGAAUUUAUUAGAAUUUGGUGUUUAGGUGAAGAAACUUAAAUAGAAUUGAAAGACAAGAAGACCCUAUCGAGCUUUAAAAUAAAAUUUUUAAAAUAUUUAGUUCUAAAUUUAUUUUAAAAAUAUUUUUUUUGGUUGGGGCGACUGAGGAACAAUAGAAGCUUCCUUACUAAAAGUAGGCUGUUAGUUUUGAUCCAAUAAAUUGAUUACAAGAAAUAGUUACCGUAGGGAUAACAGCAUAAUCUUUUUUGAGAGUUCUUAUCGAAAAAAUGGUUUGUGACCUCGAUGUUGGACUAGGAUAUCCUGAGGGUG
This 465-nucleotide ribosomal RNA is filed under the name Acmella minima. Its description in RNAcentral is "Paludinella minima partial 16S ribosomal RNA". It matches the Rfam family "Bacterial large subunit ribosomal RNA", at positions 1813 to 2555 of the family's 2925-position model. Lineage: Eukaryota; Metazoa; Mollusca; Gastropoda; Littorinimorpha; Assimineidae. The record is from RNAcentral.